This is a long non-coding RNA of Passer domesticus (house sparrow), 219 nucleotides long. RefSeq lists it as uncharacterized. The record is from RefSeq and is a predicted model, not a curated record. The transcript has 2 exons. Lineage: Eukaryota; Metazoa; Chordata; Aves; Passeriformes; Passeridae.
CCCUCCUCCGUGCGCGUAACCUGAGCACGGAGAUGGGCCCUGGGUAAAAAUAAUGCCGCUGAGAAGGUCCUGGCUGAGCAGCCCCAGCACAUGUGAACAGGUCUGCUGUGCCCAUCAUCCAGCUUGUUCAGUGGAGUGUGGAUGUAAAGUGAAUGUCCAGCAAAACUGAGAAAUCUAGCCUUAAAACAAGUGGAAAGAAACUAAGAAGAGAACCACAGA